AUAUUAUUAAGCGGAGGAAAAGAAACUAACAAGGAUUCCCUCAGUAACGGCGAGUGAAGCGGGAACAGCUCAAAGUGAAAAUCGAAGGCCGUUAGGUUUUCGAGUUGUAAACUAAAGACGUGUGGUCUGUGUGUGACCCGAGUAUAACUCUUUUGGAACAAGGGAUCAUAGAGGGUGAGAAUCCCGUCCUUGACUCGGAGUUCGCCGCGUACGAUACACGUUCGAAGAGUCGCGUUGUUUGGGAUUGCAGCGCUAAAUGGGUGGUAAACUUCAUCUAAAGCUAAAUAUUGGCGGGAGACCGAUAGCGCACAAGUA
This 315-nucleotide ribosomal RNA is filed under the name uncultured eukaryote. Its description in RNAcentral is "partial large subunit ribosomal RNA". It matches the Rfam family "Eukaryotic large subunit ribosomal RNA", at positions 40 to 350 of the family's 3401-position model. The record is from RNAcentral.